RNAcentral lists this small RNA (165 nucleotides) under Arthrobacter sp. RNAcentral describes it as "c-di-AMP sequence". It matches the Rfam family "c-di-AMP riboswitch aptamer (ydaO/yuaA leader)". Rfam says of the family: This family represents a conserved RNA structure found upstream of the ydaO and yuaA genes in Bacillus subtilis and related genes in other bacteria. Lineage: Bacteria; Bacillati; Actinomycetota; Actinomycetes; Micrococcales; Micrococcaceae. The record is from RNAcentral.
AGUUAUAAACAACUCGUACGGCAGUGGCGGGGGAACCAAUAUCGGGUCGUUAGUUUGAACUAACAACCCUAGGGGUGAAGUGGAAGAGAAGGAAACUUCGAAUCCACCGAGGUAACUCCACUUCGAACCCGACAGCUUACCUCGUAGGUAUCAAGGAGAGGCUUU